CCUACGGGAGGCAGCAGUGAGGAAUAUUGGUCAAUGGACGAGAGUCUGAACCAGCCAAGUAGCGUGAAGGAUGACUGCCCUAUGGGUUGUAAACUUCUUUUAUAUGGGAAUAAAAUGUUCCACGUGUGGGAUUUUGUAUGUACCAUAUGAAUAAGGAUCGGCUAACUCCGUGCCAGCAGCCGCGGUAAUACGGAGGAUCCGAGCGUUAUCCGGAUUUAUUGGGUUUAAAGGGAGCGUAGGUGGAUUGUUAAGUCAGUUGUGAAAGUUUGCGGCUCAACCGUAAAAUUGCAGUUGAAACUGGCAGUCUUGAGUACAGUAGAGGUGGGCGGAAUUCGUAGUGUAGCGGUGAAAUGCUUAGAUAUCACGAAGAACUCCGAUUGCGAAGGCAGUUCACUGGACUGCAACUGACACUGAGGCUCGAAGGUGUGGGUAUCAAACAGGAUUAGAUACCCUUGUAGUC
RNAcentral lists this ribosomal RNA (460 nucleotides) under uncultured bacterium. RNAcentral's name for it is "partial 16S ribosomal RNA". It matches the Rfam family "Bacterial small subunit ribosomal RNA", at positions 338 to 795 of the family's 1533-position model. The record is from RNAcentral.